Molecule: ribosomal RNA, 380 nt
Filed under: uncultured bacterium
Lineage: Bacteria
Description: partial 16S ribosomal RNA
Rfam family: Bacterial small subunit ribosomal RNA
Source: RNAcentral
CCUACGGGUGGCAGCAGUGGGGAAUAUUGCACAAUGGGGGAAACCCUGAUGCAGCAACGCCGCGUGAGUGAAGAAGGUCUUCGGAUUGUAAAGCUCUGUUAGCAGGGAAGAGGAAGGACGGUACCUGCAGAGGAUGCCACGGCUAACUACGUGCCAGCAGCAGCGGUAAUACGCAGGUGGCAAGCGUUGUUCGGAAUGACUGGGCGUAAAGGAUGCGUAGGCGGUUAAAUAAGUUAUAUGUUAAAUAUAUAGGCUUAACCUGUAGAAAGCAUAUAAAAUUGUUUAGCUAGAGUGCAGGAGAGGUAAGUAGAAUUCCAAGUGUAGCGGUGAAAUGCGUAGAGAUGAGGAAGAACACCAGUGGCGAAGGCGACUUACUGGAC